RNAcentral lists this long non-coding RNA (260 nucleotides) under Manihot esculenta (cassava). RNAcentral describes it as "long non-coding RNA (MESC_LNC003679)". Lineage: Eukaryota; Viridiplantae; Streptophyta; Magnoliopsida; Malpighiales; Euphorbiaceae. The record is from RNAcentral.
UGUGAGGUUGGGCUUGAUAGCUUAUCGGUGAGAGUAUCCCCUUUGGGUCAGCGGACCCAAGUGUGAUCCAUCAGUGGUAGAGUCAGUCUGCCGGUAUAGUUCAGAGUAUGUUGUGAGUAGAUGCCCUCCAGCUGACCUAGCGGUUCUAGAUUUGACUGUUUGACAUCAUUCUAGGGUUGGAUUGGUUCUUCUACUAGUGGUACUACCUAAGUCUGCAGAGACAAGGUAGUCAAGUUCAGAGGUCAGGAUGGAUCAGAGGU